UACGUAGGGGGCUAGCGUUGCUCGGAAUCACUGGGCGUAAAGCGCACGUAGGCGGCUUGCUAAGUCAGGGGUGAAAUCCUGGAGCUCAACUCCAGAACUGCCUUUGAUACUGGCGGCCUUGAGUCCGGGAGAGGUGAGUGGAACUGCGAGUGUAGAGGUGAAAUUCGUAGAUAUUCGCAAGAACACCAGUGGCGAAGGCGGCUCACUGGCCCGGUACUGACGCUGAGGUGCGAAAGCGUGGGGAGCAAACAGG
RNAcentral lists this ribosomal RNA (253 nucleotides) under uncultured bacterium. RNAcentral describes it as "partial 16S ribosomal RNA". It matches the Rfam family "Bacterial small subunit ribosomal RNA", at positions 524 to 776 of the family's 1533-position model. The record is from RNAcentral.